CCAGGGAGCACAGGAACCAGGGAGCACUGGGGAAGGGAGCACAGGAGCCAGGGAGCACUGGGGAAGGGAGGACAGGAACCAGGGAGCACUGGGGAAGGGUAUGUUGGGCACUGCCAGUAUUGGGAGAUGGGAAGUAAAUGGGAAUGGGCGACCUUGGCUAUACUGGGAAUAGGGAUAUUAGGGGGGCCUGAGCCCAGGUAUGUUGUGGGGGAAUAUACUGGGGCUGGGAAUUGGGAGCUUAGGGGGCCCUGAGCCCAGGUAUGUUGGGGGCAUAUACUGGGAAUUGGGAGCUUAGGGGGCCCUGAGCCCAGGUAUGUUGGGGGCAUAUACUGGGAAUUGGGAGCUUAGGGGGCCCUGAGCCCAGGUAUGUUGGGGGCAUAUACUGGGGCUGUGAAUUGGGAGCUUAGGGGGCCCUGAGCCCAGGUAUGUUGGGGGCAUAUACUGGGGCUGUGAAUUGGGAGCUUAGGGGGCCCUGAGCCCAGGUAUGUUGGGGGCAUAUACUGGGGCUGGGAAUUGGGAGCUUAGGGGGCCCUGAGCCCAGGUAUGUUGGGGGCAUAUACUGGGGCUGGGAAUUGGGAGCUUAGGGGGCCCUGAGCCCAGGUAUGUUGGGGGCAUUGACUUUAGGGAAUGAGGUAACUUGGGGAGAGAGGAAUUCAAGAAUGUUGAGUGGGAAAAGAUGUAGCCUCUGGCCAGUGAGAAGGGCAAGUAUUAUGGGAGAGCUUAAUGGUGGGAAAAUGGGUAUGCAGGGCUCAGUGCCAUUAAAUAGAGUUAAUACUGGCCAGAAGCCUAGGUUAUGUUGGGGGCAUUCCAUGCAGAGUAAGGGGCAUAAGGGUGAAGACACACUGAGCUACUAGCAGCAACUAAUUUUUUACAGCUACAAAACACCAGAAAAUCCCCUGCCUUAGACAGUAUGGAGCGUUGCGAAAACAGAGAAUUAUCAGUAACUGAUUGGCAUUGAAUAUUUUAGUAGCUGUGACAAGUAGCUGCUACUACUGUGUGUCUUCGACCUAAGGAAGGAGAAUUCUUAGUAUGGAAGGAAUUUUAGAAUUGAGGAAGUAGUGUAGGUAAUGGAGGAACACGUGUUAGAAGCAGGAA
Xenopus tropicalis (tropical clawed frog) is the source of this 1095-nucleotide long non-coding RNA. RefSeq lists it as uncharacterized. NCBI's taxonomy places the organism in Eukaryota, Metazoa, Chordata, Amphibia, Anura, Pipidae. The record is from RefSeq and is a predicted model, not a curated record. The transcript is spliced from 2 exons.